This is a long non-coding RNA of Schistocerca gregaria, 3311 nucleotides long. RefSeq lists it as uncharacterized. NCBI's taxonomy places the organism in Eukaryota, Metazoa, Arthropoda, Insecta, Orthoptera, Acrididae. The transcript is spliced from 3 exons. The record is from RefSeq and is a predicted model, not a curated record.
CCUGUUCACUGUAAGAUGGCGGAGAUGUGUGUACAAGUGAGUAGUGUUCCUGUGAAAAACGAAAAUAAUAUCGGUAAAAGUACAGUGUGUGUGAAUUGUAAGGACGAAAUUAUUAAGUUAAAUGAGUGUAUUUCUAGCCUUCAGCAAAUCGUCAGUGUAUUGGGUAGUGGAGAUGUCAGAACUUCGAAAAGAAAUAAGUGAGUCAUUAGUCAAACAAAAGGCCAGUUCUCUUCCGCAAAAAAAAAUAUCUAACGAGUUGACAAAUAUACCAUAUAAAAACAGAGGUGUGAAUACGAAAGCAUCACCAGCGAGUAAAAAAACCAAACAGUUGGUGGUUAAAAACAAAUUUCAAGUUCUUUCCGUGAGUGAAGAGGCGGAUUUAGGCCUAACAUCGGUAAGGGAACAUGAACUUUUGAACAAACUUCGUAAUCAAAAUGGUGAUACAGGCUCUGAGUUCAGCAUUAACGCAAACAAUGAAGGUGCGAAAUUGAGCAUGCCAUCUAUUGUACAUAAUAAUGGGACAUCUAUUGCACGUAGUAAUGAGAAAGACACUAUUAAUCAAAACGUACAACAGACGAAAGUAAUGUAUUAUUUUUAACGGACAGUUACGGCAGAAAAAUGACGAGACUAUUCAAAGAAAACACGAAAUACGACGCAACAGGUUUUGUGAAGCCAGGAGCAACAGCAAAAAAACAUUAUUGGUAUUGAUUUACAAGACAAAAUGUCGGGAAAAAAUGACUAUGUCGUGUGUAUAGCGGGUGCAAAUGAUGUUGCGAAAAACGAAGCAAAUAACUGUCUCACUGAAGUAAAGAAAUUCCUGGAACGGAGUAAACAAAAAAUACGAUAGUUGCAACAUUACCACACAGAUAUGAUCUAAUUUAUCACUCGUAUGUAAAUAAAGAAAUUCGUAAAACUAACAUUAAAAUAAAGCAGAUGUGUUCUUUGGAAAAUGUAGCGUCCUUGAUAUAGGCAAAUUGGACAGAUGCCAGCAUACCAAACACAGAAUGCAUGUAAAGUAUGAAGGAAAAAACUUUGUAUGUAAAAUGAUAAAUGAAAUCAUUGCGAACAGAGUGAGAGCGAACAGAAAAAUUCCAUGUGCCAGUAUGGGACCAGUCUCAGCAAAAGAAAAAGAAGCAUCCUCAAAAGCAGCAGAAUCGUCAGUGGCGGAACCAAUUGCUAAAACAACAUAUUCAGCGGUAACUAUUGCCCGUCCUACACGCAACAGAAAACAAACUCUACGUGAGUAACACGAGAGAUGAGGAUUCAAAGUUGCUUCAAGUAUCUCUCUCGUGUUUUCAAUAUGAGUUUUCCACGCCCCAAGCAAUACUAUCAACUAAUGUACUGAAAAAAGCCACUCCUAGCAAACAUCACGCAAAUGCAGAGGCAAACAUCCACAUACUUCUACAAUAGGUUAUUGUUGAACACCUAUGAUCAAUAAAAGUCUAACCACACCGUUCUUGCCACAUAAUACGGAACUACAACUUGCAGCAGCCAUGCAGACAACAAACCGAGAUGACAACUACGGCAGCAGCAGUAGAGCAACAGGAGACAAGUGAAUAAAAAUAAUGUAAUUUAAUUGCAAAAGCUGGUUUGUAUUAAGUGAUACAUAAUGAAUGGCCUUAAAGAACAAGACAGAGUGAUGGAGAACAAUGGACAACAAGGGAGUGAUAUGCUUGAAAACAAAGCUGUAGAAGUUAAGUUUUUAAAUGAACAGACAUACUUAAUGGGGACUGGUUCUGCAGACGAUAGCAGUUAUAAAUCAGACAUGAAUGUAACUUUGAAUGAUGGAAAUGAAAGCCCUAUUGUAAAGAGCGUAAUGGACAGAAACAGUACUGAAGUGGAUGAGAUCGUCAAGGUUAAGGGGGAGGAAUCUAGUAACAAAAGUCAGCAAGGGCAACAGGUUAUGGCAGAUGGAAAAUUGGAAGCAAUGUUAAGACAAAUUGUGAGUAGUAUGUGUACGAUAAAAGACAUUAGUAGGGUGGAAAAGAAAACUGAUAGCUUUAGAACUGACAUGGUUAGCUUAAAGGUUGAACUGAAGAAAGAAAUUAAAAAAGAGAUUAAGGUAGUCAGCUCUAAUCUUUCAAAAUUAAAUAACAAGACUAAGGCAGUAGUUAAAGAUUAUGAUGAAAUACUAAAGAAAGUAGAGCAGAAUAUGAAUGAGAAAUUAACAUAAACAAGUAGUAAAUGUGUGGAAGAGAGAAAGAAGCUUUGUCAUGACAACAGUAGGAAGGUGGAGGUUUCUGAGAAACAAUGUGCUGAAAAUAGAGCUAAACUUGAGAACCAAAUCGAUCAGAUUAAAAAUGAUUUAGAAACAGAGGUAGAAACCAAGUGUGCCAUAGUGGUAGAGGAAACACUGGAAAAAGUAAAUGAAAAUGUAGAUUAAAAUUGGCUAAAAUAGAGAAAAAGGUGGAAGAAGUACAAAAUCAAAAGUGUAGAGAAAGUGACAGUGGGUCUGAUAAUCAUUUUGGUAAGCAGGAUGCUAGUUUUUCCAGUGAAAGGAUUUACGAGGAUUUGUUGUAUGAAGAAGAUUGCCUGAUAAGUAAAAAGGAAGUGUGGCACACUGUAAUAACAACAAGGGUACAAGGUAUACAUGUUAAGAGUUUACUGGGCAGUGGUACUGAUUUGGAUGGUAUUUCACAGGCAUUUUUUGAAUCUAUUAAGAACACAGAGGGUAUAGAAAUGUGUGUCUCUGGAACAAACAUUAUUGGUGCCACUGGUAAGCCAUCAAAGAGUGUGAAACAAGAGGUACCAUUAAUGGUGGAAUUGGCAGGACAGUUGUUGGAGUGCAAUUUCUUGAUAAUUAAAAAGCUCAGCAUUGAUGUAAUAUUGUGCAAAUAGCAAGUAUGGGGGUUCAACAUUCUGUGUUGGAUUCAUUAUGUGGUGAUAAUGCUUACCCCAGCUAUCUGUCUAAUUUUACAUGUUUCCUGAGGCAGUCAAACUCUUCUCCCAUCCUAUCUGUAGUUUAUAAGUGAAAUCAGAAACAUUCAAUCUUCAACUUUCAUGUAAUUUUGAACAGUAAGAUACUUUAGUAUAGGAGUAUUUUAGAAAAGGUUCCUCCAGUGAUAUCUAUUUAUAUUAUGUUCUGUUAGUUAUAAGUGAUGGAAUCAUAAGAGUAUGAUUGAUUGAUUGAUUUUUAUUGCCCAAAAACAAAACAUUUACAGGGAUGUAAAGCUUGUAUAAGCAAUGUCAAUAAAUAUACAAACAACAAUGACAAUAAAUACACAAAUAAUUAAUCUAUGUUAGAAAUUAUGCUCACAGAAAUCUUUCGUUGUAUAAAAACAAUUUUGAAUUAAUAAAGAUCUUACAAAUAU